CGGGUGUAGUUCAGUGGUAGAAUGUCAGCCUUCCAAGCUGAAUAUGUGGGUUCGAUUCCCAUCACCC
RNAcentral lists this transfer RNA (67 nucleotides) under uncultured Eubacterium sp. It matches the Rfam family "tRNA". Rfam says of the family: Transfer RNA (tRNA) molecules are approximately 80 nucleotides in length. Their secondary structure includes four short double-helical elements and three loops (D, anti-codon, and T loops). The record is from RNAcentral. Lineage: Bacteria; Bacillati; Bacillota; Clostridia; Eubacteriales; Eubacteriaceae.